Molecule: long non-coding RNA, 151 nt
Organism: Cynoglossus semilaevis (tongue sole)
Lineage: Eukaryota; Metazoa; Chordata; Actinopteri; Pleuronectiformes; Cynoglossidae
Exons: 2
Source: RefSeq, a predicted model, not a curated record
GCUAAUUUUUCAAUAAUCAAAACAUCUGAAGUUUGAAGUUGUGAAAAGGGAAGAAAAGAGGACAGGUGGCCGGGUUUGUAGGAUUUACAAGAAAAAAUACUACACAAUGCAAGGCACGGCAGCCUCUGUUGUGGCACGGCGGCCAAACACA